RNAcentral lists this long non-coding RNA (1241 nucleotides) under Monodelphis domestica (gray short-tailed opossum). Its description in RNAcentral is "lncRNA (ENSMODG00000039695.1)". The record is from RNAcentral. Lineage: Eukaryota; Metazoa; Chordata; Mammalia; Didelphimorphia; Didelphidae.
GGAUCAUUAUAUAGAAGUAACAAAUUUCACUGAAAUUUAAAAAUGUGCUUCUCAUAAGAUAAACUAAUUUUAUGAAAGAUGCUGUCCCUAAACUUAAUACCAAGAGUAUGUGUGUAUGUAUGUGUGUGUGUUUCAGGAACUUAGAAAUCACCUGUGUGUAUUACAAACUUGACCUUAGUUAUAUUUGCUUCACAUUAUGUACAAGUUAGUUUCAUUUCUGGUCAGGUGAAGUGUUUUUUACAUGCCCAAAAAUAAAAUACCACUAUUUCUAUUAAAAGUAACUGCUCUUCCUGGUAUCAUGAUGGAAUGGGCAGAGGGUUAAAACAUUAGGCACGAGACUUGGACCUUAAUGUCACCACUGACCCUGACUACUGUAAAAGUAGAGAUUUUGAACCCUAGACUUCAAUCCCCAGAAGUCCUUAGUAUUUCCCAGAAUUCCCUAUAAUCUUUCUUGUCUGAUCACGUGAUAGGUAUUUAACUAGCGGUAACGCCUCCCACACGCUCUUCCUUUGCAAUGAGGCAGCAAGUAUAGUGGUAAGCUAAGUGUGGGGAUUUUUAAAUGGGCUAAUCAGCCAUGGGCAUGUGGGAGGCAUUAUUGCCAGUUAAAUACCAAUCACAUGAUCUCGCCAACAUGGAGAUAGGAGAGAUUAUAGGGAAUUCUGGGAAAUACCAAGGACUUAUGGGGAUUGAAGUCUAGGGUUCAAAAUCUAUUUUUACACUAUUUGUGUGACUUUAAGGAAAUCUCUACUAUCUGGACCAUGAUUUCAUCAUCAAAGAUGUUCAAUAUUGUCGAAGCCAAAUAAAUUCUGCUGCAGUACCUUGCCUUUACUUUGUGUGUGUCUCCCUGCCUCAAAAGUGAUUCUUGUAAACAAUGUAUAGUUGGAUUCUGGUUUUUAAUCCCCUCUGCUAUUUGCUUCUGUUUUAUGGGUCAUGCCCUGCCUUAAGUUACUUCAGGCCUCACAAUUGCUUUAGGUGCUUUGGGAAUCCAUCUUCAAGAGGGAAGGUUUAUUGAAGAUUAAGGAUUAAAGAAAAUACAGGAUAAGAGACCGUGUCCAGGCCAUAGAGAGGCCUAGACACAACCUCACCUACAUUAUGAAAAAAAGCCACACCUGCCCCAAAGCGGAAGUCCAAGAGCCCGAGAGAGCCCUCAAAAGCCUUUGAAUCAGCUUAAAUACCUCUAGAUCACGGCCCAGGUGAGAUUACAAGGCAUUCUGGGGAAGUGGAGCAAAGGCUCAUGGGGA